RNAcentral lists this long non-coding RNA (816 nucleotides) under Homo sapiens (human). RNAcentral's name for it is "long intergenic non-protein coding RNA 2212". The record is from RNAcentral. Lineage: Eukaryota; Metazoa; Chordata; Mammalia; Primates; Hominidae.
AGUCACAGCCAGGACAGGAAUGUCACCCCCAGCUGGCAGACAGCACUCUGAGCAGCCAGGCCUGGGAUCCUCUGACCUGCCCACUUCAGGAGGCCAGUGUGGUCACUGCCACCCCACGGUCUGGGGACCCUGGACUCCAAACUUUUCCUCUGAUGCUGAAGAGUAGGGCUUGCAGGGACUCUGCCUCCUGCAGGGAGCAGCCACUGUUUCCAGGGACCCUCACAGAAGAGGAGCUAAUUUCACACUUUGGGACUCCAUAGAAGCCAGCUUCCUGGCAGUUUGAAGUGUGCUUCUCACACAUCUUCCACCAGCUUGUUUGUCUGCCUAUAUCUGAGGAUCCUUUAAAGCGAUUGAAACAAAAUUAAGGAAUGAAUCUUUGGUGAUGAAAGUGAGAAUCUGGGAGAGAUGUGAAAACUGGAAGAGAAACAGGAAGUACCUCCAGGAUUCACCUAAAUAGAUGCUGCGGUUUCUAUCAAACCACAGGCCACCCCAGCAUCUCAGUGGCUUCUAUAGGUUGUCCUGAAAGAGCCAUGAGGCCAGGGCCCUUGAUGGAUUCCCAGAUACCAGCUGCUCCUCCAGACACCAAUUCCACCCUCCACCUUUCUGUGUCCGUCCCAGACCAAGGCAGCCCAGGACUGGUAUCCUUCUAAGAAGAGGAAGGCACAUCAGAGGAGAGGCCAUGUGAGGACACCAUGGGAAGGCGGCCACCUGCAAGCCAAGGAGAGGGGCCUCAGGAGAAACCAGCCCUGCUGACACCCUGAGCUCCUUGCAAUUCCAGCCUCCUAGACUGUGAGAAAAUACACUUGUGUUAUUUAA